UGUCGUCAGCUCGUGUUGUGAAAUGUUGGGUUAAGUCCCGCAACGAGCGCAACCCUUAUCCUUUGUUGCCAGCGGUCCGGCCGGGAACUCAAAGGAGACUGCCAGUGAUAAACUGGAGGAAGGUGGGGAUGACGUCAAGUCAUCAUGGCCCUUACGACCAGGGCUACACACGUGCUACAAUGGCGCAUACAAAGAGAAGCGACCUCGCGAGAGCAAGCGGACCUCAUAAAGUGCGUCGUAGUCCGGAUUGGAGUCUGCAACUCGACUCCAUGAAGUCGGAAUCGCUAGUAAUCGUGGAUCAGAAUGCCACGGUGAAUACGUUCCCGGGCCUUGUACACACCGCCCGUCACACCAUGGGAGUGGGUUGCAAAAGAAGUAGGUAGCUUAACCUUCGGGAGGGCGCUUACCACUUUGUGAUUCAUGA
This 424-nucleotide ribosomal RNA is filed under the name Escherichia coli. RNAcentral's name for it is "bacterial SSU rRNA". It matches the Rfam family "Bacterial small subunit ribosomal RNA", at positions 1050 to 1474 of the family's 1533-position model. The record is from RNAcentral. Lineage: Bacteria; Pseudomonadati; Pseudomonadota; Gammaproteobacteria; Enterobacterales; Enterobacteriaceae.